Molecule: ribosomal RNA, 444 nt
Filed under: uncultured bacterium
Lineage: Bacteria
Description: SSU rRNA
Rfam family: Bacterial small subunit ribosomal RNA
Source: RNAcentral
AGAGCGAACGCUGGCGGCAGGCCUAACACAUGCAAGUCGAGCGCCCCGCAAGGGGAGCGGCAGACGGGAGAGUAACACGUGGGAACGUACCCUUUGGUUCGGAACAACACAGGGAAACUUGUGCUAAUACCGGAUAAGCCCUUACGGGGAAAGAUUUAUCGCCAAAGGAUCGGCCCGCGUCUGAUUAGCUUGUUGGUGAGGUAACGGCUCACCAAGGCUACGAUCAGUAGCUGGUCUGAGAGGAUGAUCAGCCUCACUGGGACUGAGACACGGCCCAGACUCCUACGGGAGGCAGCAGUGGGGAAUAUUGGACAAUGGGCGCAAGCCUGAUCCAGCCAUGCCGCGUGGAUGAUGAAGGCCCUAGGGUUGUAAAGUCCUUUCGACUGGGAAGAUAAUGACGGUACCCGUAGAAGAAGCCCCGGCUAACUUCGUGCCAGCAGCCGC